CCAUACUACACUAGAUACGCAAAAGAAGAACGAAUCAACGUUAUGUUACAGGAAUACGACACGAUUUUUAAUAUGACGAUGUCAUAUAGAGGAGAUUCUGACAUAGUUAAUAAAUAUGGGAUAUGGCAGAAAGAUAUGUUAAAAACAAUACAGCCAUUUUCUUUGAAAAAUAAAACGAACUUAGCUAUUAUGCUGGCAAGCGAAUGCUGGAGAGCUGGGGCCCAAUUGAGAAUAAAAUUGUCGGAUGCACUUGUGAAAAAGGACUGAAUUUAACACGAUAUGGGAAAUGCUUUGAGUCGCGAUACGAAGGGACAUAACAAAACUACUUUAUCAAUAUAAAUUUUUCAUGUCGUUUGAGAAUAGUAUACACUGUAAAGACUAUAUAACUGAAAAAUUUUGGGUGAAUUUUUUAUGGAAUGGCGUGGUGCCCGUUGUUUGGGGGCCACUAAAAGAAGAUAUCGUUCGUGUAGCCCCACCGAAUUCCUUUAUUUUUGUCGACGACUUCAAGUCAUUGAAAGAUUUAGUUAAUACUUGAAUUAUUUGGAUAAAAAUGAUGAUGAAUAUGUAAAGUAUUUUGCAUGGCGUAAUCUGGAACCUCCUGAACGACAACCUCACAUUUUCUGUGCGUGUAAGAAAAUGAAACUGGUUAAUGAAAAAUUGUGCAGAUUAUGUAGAAUCGUGACCGAUGGUGCGAAAGGAAAACCGAACUUACGUUUAAGUAAAUGGUGGUACGGUGGCGAGAAUCCUGACUGUCUUCAGAACAAUCUUACACAAUUGGAAUUGAAUUUUAACAAACAAUACGGCAUCAAAUAACAGAGAAGAUUUGCAGUUUGAACCUCUCCAAGUUAUAGCAUAUAGUUAACUGUAGCGUGUGACUCCUAAAUAUUGGAAAUAAUUUAGAUAUAAAAUUUGCGAUCCCACGAAAUACCGCCACCAAGCCCUGCACCUGGUGGCGGUUAAUGGUUAGUAGUCAUUUCAGAGCGAAUGAAAUCUUAUCUAAACGUGGUGAAUAUUUGUUUGAAGUGUGGUCUUGUUUUCGUAACUAAGUAGUAGGCCCGUUUGAGAUAUAGCACAGAACUCGAUUUGCAUCUUAAGUUCUGAGCAAGUGAUAAAAAACAUUUACUAAACGGCAUGAACUGCUACGUUUUCUUGGUAAAUUGCGUUAAUUAACAUUCAAAAUGUUUUUUUUAUUAAAUCUGAUCUU
This is a non-coding RNA of Styela clava, 1204 nucleotides long. Lineage: Eukaryota; Metazoa; Chordata; Ascidiacea; Stolidobranchia; Styelidae. The record is from RefSeq and is a predicted model, not a curated record.